Molecule: ribosomal RNA, 378 nt
Filed under: Triticum aestivum (bread wheat)
Lineage: Eukaryota; Viridiplantae; Streptophyta; Magnoliopsida; Poales; Poaceae
Description: partial small subunit ribosomal RNA
Source: RNAcentral
AUGAGCUUCAGGAGCCCACGGCUUCACUUCACCCUGCUACUCCUCACAUGCUACUGCUCCAUCAAAAUUGCUGCCAACGGCGGCAAUAGAACCACAGUCCAGUGCCUCCCUAAUCAGGCUUCAUCUCUGCUCCAGCUGAAGCACUCCUUUCUCAAACCCAACCUCUCGUCAUGGCAACAGGGCACAGACUGUUGCCACUGGGAGGGUGUUGGAUGUGACAGGGCAUCCGGUCGGGUGAUCACUUUGGACCUCAGUGAUCGUAACCUGCAGAGCACCAGUGGUCUCAGCCUAGCACUAUUCAACCUCACCUCUCUCACAAAUCUCAGCCUCUCUGAUACCCAUUGGAAUUGGUCACCUCCAAAAUUUGCGUACACUUGA